AUACAUGCAAGUCGAGCGAACAGACGAGGAGCUUGCUCCUCUGACGUUAGCGGCGGACGGGUGAGUAACACGUGGAUAACCUACCUAUAAGACUGGGAUAACUUCGGGAAACCGGAGCUAAUACCGGAUAAUAUAUUGAACCGCAUGGUUCAAUAGUGAAAGACGGUUUUGCUGUCACUUAUAGAUGGAUCCGCGCCGCAUUAGCUAGUUGGUAAGGUAACGGCUUACCAAGGCAACGAUGCGUAGCCGACCUGAGAGGGUGAUCGGCCACACUGGAACUGAGACACGGUCCAGACUCCUACGGGAGGCAGCAGUAGGGAAUCUUCCGCAAUGGGCGAAAGCCUGACGGAGCAACGCCGCGUGAGUGAUGAAGGUCUUCGGAUCGUAAAACUCUGUUAUUAGGGAAGAACAAAUGUGUAAGUAACUAUGCACGUCUUGACGGUACCUAAUCAGAAAGCCACGGCUAACUACGUGCCAGCAGCCGCGGUAAUACGUAGGUGGCAAGCGUUAUCCGGAAUUAUUGGGCGUAAAGCGCGCGUAGGCGGUUUUUUAAGUCUGAUGUGAAAGCCCACGGCUCAACCGUGGAGGGUCAUUGGAAACUGGAAAACUUGAGUGCAGAAGAGGAAAGUGGAAUUCCAUGUGUAGCGGUGAAAUGCGCAGAGAUAUGGAGGAACACCAGUGGCGAAGGCGACUUUCUGGUCUGUAACUGACGCUGAUGUGCGAAAGCGUGGGGAUCAAACAGGAUUAGAUACCCUGGUAGUCCACGCCGUAAACGAUGAGUGCUAAGUGUUAGGGGGUUUCCGCCCCUUAGUGCUGCAGCUAACGCAUUAAGCACUCCGCCUGGGGAGUACGACCG
Molecule: ribosomal RNA, 856 nt
Filed under: Staphylococcus epidermidis
Lineage: Bacteria; Bacillati; Bacillota; Bacilli; Caryophanales; Staphylococcaceae
Description: bacterial SSU rRNA
Rfam family: Bacterial small subunit ribosomal RNA
Source: RNAcentral